This 509-nucleotide ribosomal RNA is filed under the name uncultured bacterium. RNAcentral describes it as "partial 16S ribosomal RNA". It matches the Rfam family "Bacterial small subunit ribosomal RNA", at positions 28 to 523 of the family's 1533-position model. The record is from RNAcentral.
GACGAACGCUGGCGGCGCGCUUAACACAUGCAAGUCGAGCGAGAACCUGGGCUUCGGCCCUGGGGACAGCGGCGAACGGGUGAGUAACACGUGGGUAAUCUGCCCUUGACAUCGGGAUAGCCCGGGGAAACCCGGAUUAAUACCGAAUAGCCUCCGGAGCCUUCGGGCGCCGGAGAAAAGGUAGCUUCGGCCUCUGGUCGAGGCUGAGCCCGCGGCGGGUUAGCUUGUUGGCGGGGUAACGGCCCACCAAGGCGACGAUCCGUAGCUGGUCUGAGAGGACGAUCAGCCACACUGGGACUGAGACACGGCCCAGACUCCUACGGGAGGCAGCAGUGGGGAAUCUUGCGCCAAUGCGGGAAACCGUGACGCAGCGACGCCGCGUGGGGGAAGAAGGCCUUCGGGUUGUAGACCUCUUUCAGGAGGGACGAAGCCACUCGGGUGAAUAGCCCAGAGGGUGACGGUACCUCCAGAAGAAGCCCCGGCUAACUACGUGCCAGCCGCCGCCGUAA